CGUAUUUACACUACAAUCCAAGACGCUAUAUCAGUCAAACUGGCUAACACACACUCACACGGGGUAAAACCAAACCCUAUUCAUUCAGCAAUCAGACCUGAUCGUUUCUCUCCUCUCCCUAUUUUUUAUUAUUUUUUUUUUUAUUUUAUUUGUGGCGUUCCGCGUCACUCGCGUGACGAAUGACAAGGCGGCAGACCUAAACACGGUCAGUUUACUUGGUGGAUUUGGAGCGGCAAUUUUCACACAAAAGAGGAGAAAAACGAGCGUCAGUGCGGAAAAUACUGGUGGCGACGGAGAUAGUGACGAUGUAACAACAUUGGUUCCGAAAAAAGGAAAGCAAAGAAGUUACAUAUGGACGUUUCUCAAUCGGAAGGCUGCAGCCUCCGAAGGUCGCAUAUGCAGGCUGCAUACGUGGGACUGAUUCUCCGUGCUGAUGAAAGUUGUGUUUGUUAUUAUUCAGUUUGUUUAAGUAUUACUUAAGUAAGACUUAUUUAAUGCCUGCUAUGACUGUACACACAAUUUCAUUCUUAAUUUCUAUAUCAUUGUUCAUUUUCUACAGAUUUUUGCCACUGCACCACUACACUCUGACUCUCCCUGCUAGUCCAAGGCUGAUACUGCUGGUUGCUGGUGAAGUCACACUUGGAGGUUGGAUGCAUUGAAAACAACAUCAUCUGUGAAGGCAUCCACCAAAGCUUCAUCAGAGGGCUGGCUGCAGUUUUCGCCACCUACUAUGUGUUCAACUUGCAAUACCAAGAGGAAGCUGCCAGGACACUGGACUUUGUUCAAAGAUGCUUAAUUGGUGUGAACCCUGAAAGGGGAACAAAAGCCAGCCAAGUGAAGGUGUCCAAGAAGAAGGAAAGCUUGUCCAGAAAAAGGCAGCAAAUGUGAAUCCCCAUGUGGCCAACCUUAUCAAAAACCUCAUGGACUUUGAGUGGGGCUUUAUUUAAUUUUUUUAUAUUACAGUUUAUUUUAAUUGAAGAUGAUGUUACAGCAUUGUGUUCAGCACUUCAGUUAAGAAAAGUCACAGCAUUGUGGUGUUUAUUAUAUUUAAUAAAAACUGUGUAUUA
Molecule: long non-coding RNA, 1067 nt
Organism: Tachysurus fulvidraco (yellow catfish)
Lineage: Eukaryota; Metazoa; Chordata; Actinopteri; Siluriformes; Bagridae
Exons: 3
Source: RefSeq, a predicted model, not a curated record